Molecule: non-coding RNA, 150 nt
Organism: Caenorhabditis elegans
Lineage: Eukaryota; Metazoa; Nematoda; Chromadorea; Rhabditida; Rhabditidae
Source: Ensembl
ACAUAAUAUUUCUGAUGAAUACGAUUCAAUCCAAUCCAUGUUUGAUCCGAAAGUGCGUCAGGACCAUUAUUGUGAAGUAACGCUAAACAUUUUAUACUGGGGUCUUCCCGAAAACUUUUUUUUCGAAAGCAGCUUUGCCUUAAUUUCUGA